RNAcentral lists this long non-coding RNA (979 nucleotides) under Nicotiana benthamiana. Its description in RNAcentral is "long non-coding RNA (NBEN_LNC012048)". The record is from RNAcentral. Lineage: Eukaryota; Viridiplantae; Streptophyta; Magnoliopsida; Solanales; Solanaceae.
GGAAACAGCCUCUCUGCCCUUUCGGGGUAGGAAUAAGGCCUGUCUACAUAUUACCCUCCCCAGACCCCACUUUGUGGGACUAUACUGGAUAGUUGUUGUUGUUCUAAAGCUUAUUAGGGUUCUAUCGGAUAUGCUUUCUUGUGUAGGAAUAUGUUGUUGAGGAUGUUGGCGAGGUGGCUAGUAAUGAUUGGUCACCGCCGCCAUUGCCACAGGAGCAUGUUCAGCACCUGGAAUCACUUGAACUUCUAUAAACUUGAAGGAGUUGACAAAGGAAAACAACAGAGGAAUUACAGUCCAUAUUCACCAAUACAGAAAUUUCUUUGAACUCGAUAUUUUUCACUUAUGUGCAUAGUUUACGAAUGAUCACGUGUAAUUGUUGAAGAAAUUGAUCAUUGAUAAAUUAAGUGAAGCAACAUGAUGCAUCUCACAACUAUAGGUUGCUUCAAGAACUCUCUUAUAAUUCCUUUUGACUCAAAAUGUUUUGAGGUGCCUUUCCUACUAAUGUUAACCUAAUGGUUGCAAAUUGGCAGCUUAGGUCGGAUUUGGACGGGUUGAAAUGGGUUGAGCGAAAACGGGUUACCGAGAUUAUAUUACUGGAUAAAAUAUUAUGGUAUAGCCAGUUUUCACACUGGUCAAUCAAAAAUAGCCAGCGUUUAUCAAGUCAAUAAAAAAUAGCUAUUAUUUUGCUGCAACAGGGACCAGUCUCGUAUAAUAUACGGGAGUUCUGGUGCAUUUGUGUACGAAUUCCAAUAUAUUUUGUUGGACCGGUAUACUUUGCUAACUCCUGUAUAAUAUACGGGAGUUUGGAGUCAAGUAUAUUAUACUGGACUUUUAUACUUGUUGGACCUCCCAUAAAAUAUGCGGGAGUUCCAGCAUAAUUAUGCUUGAACUCCCAUAAAAUUUGUGGAGUUUCAACAUAGUUAUCCUGGAACUCCCGUAAAAUAUGCGGGAGUUCAAGCAUAUUUAUGCUGGAACUCCC